This is a non-coding RNA of Scomber japonicus (chub mackerel), 375 nucleotides long. The record is from the annotation of a RefSeq genome assembly. NCBI's taxonomy places the organism in Eukaryota, Metazoa, Chordata, Actinopteri, Scombriformes, Scombridae.
AUGACUCUCAUCACCAUCCUCAUCUGGACGCUGGUCUGCUGCUGUUUUACAGGAUGCAGCGGUCAGGUGACUGUGACUCAGCCUCCAGUACUCACAUUUACUCCAGGAUCCACUGUCACUCUGUCCUGUAAGACCAGCCAAGCUGUUGGAACUUGUAGUGGUCAACAGUGUAUGGCCUGGUAUCAACAGAAAUCUGGACAGACUACAAAGCUCUUAAUAAGACAAGCGAGCACACGUCACUCAGGAAUACCAGCCCGGUUUAGUGGCAGUGGAAGCGGCUCUGACUUCAUUUUGACCAUCAGUGGAGUUCAGACUGAAGAUGCAGCAGUUUACUACUGUCAGAGUGUCCAUAAUGGUCCUGUGUUCACACAGUGA